CGCACCUUGCACUCUCUAGUAUUCUGGAGAGUAUGCCCGGUUGAGUGUUUUGAAUUUCUCAAGCCCAGGAUGGUUGCUCGCGACCUCUCUGGACCUUGGUGUUGAGCGUCUCCUGCUGGAGGGUCUUCCCCCCGGCUCGCUCGAAUUUCAUUAGCGUGGAUCCAUCUCGGCUCCAACACUGACGUGAUAAGUCUUAUUCGUCGUGGUUGGUCGAGUAACGGCGCGCUCCUAACCGUCCCCUCUGGGACAAUCUUCGAUCUUUACACCUCAACUCGGGUAGGACUACCCGCUGAACUUAA
RNAcentral lists this unclassified non-coding RNA (299 nucleotides) under Saccharomycopsis olivae (nom. inval.). RNAcentral's name for it is "partial contains 5.8S ribosomal RNA, internal transcribed spacer 2, and large subunit ribosomal RNA". The record is from RNAcentral. Lineage: Eukaryota; Fungi; Ascomycota; Saccharomycetes; Ascoideales; Saccharomycopsidaceae.